GAUGAACGCUAGCGGCAGGCUUAAUACAUGCAAGUCGAGGGGCAGCGCAGUGUAGCAAUACAUGGGCGGCGACCGGCAAACGGGUGCGGAACACGUAAGCAACCUUCCUUUAAGUGGGGGAUCGCUCAGGGAAACUUGGAUUAAUACCCCGUAAUAUUAUGAAGUGGCAUCACUUUAGACUUAUAGCUCCGGCGCUUAAAGAUGGGCGUGCGACUGAUUAGGUAGUUGGCGGGGUAACGGCCCACCAAGCCUGCGAUCAGUAACCGGUGUGAGAGCACGACCAGUCACACGGGCACUGAGACACGGGCCCGACUCCUACGGGAGGCAGCAGUAAGGAAUAUUGGUCAAUGGACGCAAGUCUGAACCAGCCAUGCCGCGUGGAGGAUGAAGGUCCUCUGGAUUGUAAACUUCUUUUAUUUGGGAAGAAACCCACUGUUUCUACGGUGGUUGACGGUACCAGAUGAAUAAGCACCGGCUAACUCCGUGCCAGCAGCCGCCGUAA
RNAcentral lists this ribosomal RNA (502 nucleotides) under uncultured bacterium. RNAcentral describes it as "partial 16S ribosomal RNA". It matches the Rfam family "Bacterial small subunit ribosomal RNA", at positions 28 to 523 of the family's 1533-position model. The record is from RNAcentral.